CUCCGCACCCCCGGAUUCCACCGAAUAUCCGUCUGACGGAUAUCGCUCCUCCUCUGAGCAACAAGGCAAGCAACCCUUUUGAUCAUCCCGAUAACUCCUAUGUUCUUGCUCCUGCACCUAUUUAUUGCAUUAGGAUCAAAUGCCUCAACUGCUUUUGCCACGAUAGUUGGACCCACUUCCUUUGCAUGACUUAACCUUGUCACAGUAAAUAGCCGAACCUUGCAACCUAGCAUACCUGGUAGUUGCUUGAGCUAUGAUGUGCCUUAUCCUGCUAUGCAUGCUAUGCUUAGAGUUGUGUAUGGUCUGUCAUCUGGGAGAUGAACAGAAAUGUGGAAUGUGUUCGGUGAGCAAAGGUUGUGUGUUGAACUUGAUUUGGUAAAGGUACCGGUGAAAGGCUGUGUAGGAGUACAUGGCGGGUUGUUUCAUUGGAACCGUCCUUAGGAACUGAGUUCCGUGUAUGUAAUCCAAGACUAGAUACUACCACAUGCUGGGCCCUGAAAUAUGACCCCGCUCGGCCUAUUAAUCGCGUAGUACUCGGUCCAGGAGAUGCAAGUAGUUUCUGGUGUUUAUAGUAAUGCUGGAGGCCGUGCAUGGUGCUGACCUGAGAGGUGGACCGUGAUGCGGUAGGCAGUGGCACGGUGUACCAAGUGGCACCCGGAUGGUGGGCUUGGGAACCCUGCGCACAUCGUUUGAGGCUGUGGCGGAAACCUCGGCCGGACUUCCGUACGGGUUACUCUCAGAUAGGCGAUAAACCUGGACUAGGUACUAGUGUGGUUAACGGUCGUGGCCGACUCCCUCGCUGGGCUUCCGCUUGAAGGUUGCCGAGGUGCAUGACGUGCACAUGGCGAUAAGUGGCGAAAGCGUGUGUGACGAAGUACACCCAUGUAGGGUUAUGAUCUAUUCGAAUAGCCGCGUCCGCGGAUAUGGACUACUUGGAGACAUAUGUUGUUCAUAGAUAACUUCAAUGGCUACUCAUAAAAUUUGUCAAGAUAAGCGUGAGUGUCGUGGACGGCAUUUCCGUAUGGAGACGGAAUGAUUCCACGAUAGUGUAUUGUUGUGGUGUUAGUGGACUCGUGUGCGAGAAAUCAAGUUGUCAAAACUAAUUUCAAAAUGCAAGUUGUCUAGCCCCGAGUCAAAUGCUGGCUUUCCGCCUGGAACCCCACAAUACCUUUUGAUACCUUGCAUGAGUAGUUAGUUCUCCUAAAGUCUUGCUGAGUACCUUCGUACUCAUGUUUGCUUAAUAAAUGUUGCAGAGGUUGCUAAUGACCCUAAUGGAGGGUUCUUCGUAGACAUCGACGACGACGAGUAGCUGGUGUCCCAGCUACGAUCUGGCCCUACGUCGGCUCUGUUGUAUAGUUAGGCCAUGUGCCUUCCAGUUGCCCUGUCUGUACCCAGACAGUUUAUAACUCUUCCGC
This 1415-nucleotide long non-coding RNA is filed under the name Hordeum vulgare. Its description in RNAcentral is "long non-coding RNA (HVUL_LNC021182)". The record is from RNAcentral. Lineage: Eukaryota; Viridiplantae; Streptophyta; Magnoliopsida; Poales; Poaceae.